Molecule: ribosomal RNA, 460 nt
Filed under: uncultured bacterium
Lineage: Bacteria
Description: partial 16S ribosomal RNA
Rfam family: Bacterial small subunit ribosomal RNA
Source: RNAcentral
CCUACGGGAGGCAGCAGUGAGGAAUAUUGGUCAAUGGGCUUACGCCUGAACCAGCCAAGUCGCGUGAGGGAAGACUGCCCUCUGGGUUGUAAACCUCUUUUGUCAGGGAGCAACGCCUGCUACGUGUAGCCGGACUGAGAGUACCUGAAGAAAAAGCAUCGGCAAACUCCGUGCCAGCAGCCGCGGUAAUACGGAGGAUGCGAGCGUUAUCCGGAUUUAUUGGGGGUAACGGGUGCGUAGGCGGAAUGCCAAGUCAGCGGUAAAAUCGCGGGGCUCAACCGCGCUCCGCCGUUGAAACUGGCGUUCUUGAGUAGGCGAGAGGCAUGCGGAAUGCGUGGUGUAGCGGUGAAAUGCAUAGAUAUCACGAAGAACACCGGUUGCGAAGGCAGCAUACCGACGCGCAACUGACGCUGAAGCACGAAAGCGUGGGUAGCGAACAGGAUUAGAUACCCGGGUAGUC